RNAcentral lists this ribosomal RNA (484 nucleotides) under uncultured eukaryote. RNAcentral's name for it is "SSU rRNA". It matches the Rfam family "Eukaryotic small subunit ribosomal RNA", at positions 617 to 1102 of the family's 1831-position model. The record is from RNAcentral.
GGGUUAAAAAGCUCCGUAGUUUGGAGUUCUGCCCAAGGCCACCUGUCCGCCCCAGUGGUGAUUUUGUGGUGGGCCCUGGGCCCUUUCAAGGGGAGUUUAUCUGUACUUUAUUGUGCGGUGCGGGAUCCUUGACUUUUACUUUGAGGAAAUAAGAGUGUUCCAAGCAGGCUCUCGUCGUGCAUAGCUCAGCAUGGAAUAAUAGCAUUGGACCUCGAUUCUAAGCUGUUGGUUGCCAGAAGCGAGGUAAUGAUGAAGAGGGAUAGUUGGGGGCAUUCGUAUUUAACUGUCAGAGGUGAAAUUCUUGGAUUUGUUAAAGACGGACCACUGCGAAAGCAUCUGCCAUGGAUGUUUUCAUUGAUCAAGAACGAAAGUUAGGGGAUCGAAGACGAUCAGAUACCGUCCUAGUCUUAACUAUAAACCAUGCCGGCUAGAGAUCGGAGGUUGUUCGUUUUGUGACACCUUCAGCAUCUUGAGAGAAAUCAAA